RNAcentral lists this ribosomal RNA (657 nucleotides) under uncultured archaeon. RNAcentral describes it as "bacterial SSU rRNA". It matches the Rfam family "Archaeal small subunit ribosomal RNA", at positions 221 to 880 of the family's 1478-position model. The record is from RNAcentral.
CCGAUCAGGUUGUUGGUGAGGUAAUGGCUCACCAAGCCUUUUACCGGUGCGGGCCGUGAGAGCGGGAGCCCGGAGAUGGGCACUGAGACAAGGGCCCAGGCCCUACGGGGCGCAGCAGUCGCGAAAACUUUGCAAUAAGCGAAAGCUUGACAGGGCUAUCCCGAGUGCCAUCCGCUGAGGAAGGCUUUUACCCAGUCUAGAACGCUGGGGGAAUAAGGAGAGGGCAAGUCUGGUGUCAGCCGCCGCGGUAAUACCAGCUCUCCGAGUGGUGUGGAUGUUUAUUGGGCCUAAAGCAUCCGUAGCUGGCUAGGUUAGUCCCCUGUUAAAUCCACCGAAUUAAUCGUUGGAUUGCGGGGGAUACUGCUUGGCUAGGGGACGAGAGAGGCAGACGGUAUUUCCGGGGUAGGGGUGAAAUCCUAUAAUCCCGGGAAGACCACCAGUGGCGAAGGCUGUCUGCUAGAACGCGCCCGACGGUGAGGGAUGAAAGCUGGGGGAGCGAACCGGAUUAGAUACCCGGGUAGUCCCAGCUGUAAACGAUGCAGACUAGGUGUUUGGACGGCCACGUGCCGUUCUAGUGCCGCAGGGAAGCUGUUAAGUCUGCCGCCUGGGGAGUACGAUCGCAAGAUUGAAACUUAAAGGAAUUGGCGGGGGAGCACA